AACGCGAAGAACCUUACCUGGGUUUGACAUGUACUGGAAGAGUGGCAGAAACGCCCUCGCUCGCAAGAGUCGGUACACAGGUGCUGCAUGGCUGUCGUCAGCUCGUGUCGUGAGAUGUUGGGUUAAGUCCCGCAACGAGCGCAACCCUUGCUUUUAGUUGCCAGCAUUAAGUUGGGCACUCUAGAAGGACUGCCGACGUUAAGUCGGAGGAAGGUGGGGAUGACGUCAAGUCCUCAUGGCCCUUAUAUCCAGGGCUACACACGUGAUACAAUGGUGGUCACAGAGGGAAGCUAAGUCGCAAGAACAAGCAAAUCCCUUAAAAGCCAUCUAAGUUCAGAUUGGAGUCUGCAACUCGACUCCAUGAAGGCGGAAUCGCUAGUAAUCGCGGAUCAGAACGCCGCGGUGAAUACGUUCCCGGGCCUUGUACACACCGGCUAC
RNAcentral lists this ribosomal RNA (438 nucleotides) under uncultured bacterium. Its description in RNAcentral is "bacterial SSU rRNA". It matches the Rfam family "Bacterial small subunit ribosomal RNA", at positions 958 to 1397 of the family's 1533-position model. The record is from RNAcentral.